CAAACGCUGCUUAAGUCGGUACGGCAGGAUGUGAUACGAAAAUGGUAAAGAGCAUAUGACAAAAAUGCAUUAGGUACCACAUCUAGUCUGUAUCUCGUUUGUGCUAAAGUUUUUACUUCGUGGUAAAUUUGUGAUUCCUACGAAUAGUUUAAAAAUGGGUAAAGGAAACAAUAUAAUUCCUAAUGGUCAUUUUCAUAAAAAAUGGCGAACACUUGUAAAAACAUGUUUUAAUCAACCGGCGACUAAACAUCAUCGGAAGAAAAACCGUACGAUGAAAACUCGUGCUGUUAUGCCGAGACCUGUGAAAUUAAUGAGACCCAUAGUACAGUGCCCAACAGUGCGGUACCAUAAAAAAAUGAGACGAAAAGGUUUUACCUUGACUGAACUAAAAGUCAGUGGGUUAAAUAAAAAAUUUGCGAAAACCAUUGGAAUUGCGGUAGAUGCAAGACGACGCAACAAGUCUGUUGAGUGUUUGCAAACAAACUCUCACAGACUCAAAGACUACAAAUCGAAAUUGAUUCUCUUCCCAAUAAACAAGAAGAAACUUAAAAGUGGUGAUGCUCGUGAAAAAGAAAUUUUCACACAAGUUAAAGGAGAAAUCAUGCCUGUUAGACACCCAGCACAAGUUAAAGCUAAGGCUCGUGUAAUUUCCGAGACCGAGAAGAAGUUUUCUGCUUAUAUAACUGUUCGUACAGCUCGGGCUGAUGCCAGGCUAGUAGGAAUUCGUGCGAAAUAUGUCAAAGAUGCAGCGGAGAGUCCAGAUGAGGUUGCCAAAGACAAGAAAAUUAAAAAAUAAUCUGAAAUUUCACAUCUUCGAAAACCAAGAAUGACACCGAAUUUGAUGAACAUCUCGGACUAUUUCGGGCAAUCAAAAAUAACAUCUUGUGAAUCAGGCGGAGAGGCCUUGCAGUUUCAGUUGUUUUAUUAGUUCUGUUAUGGUCUCUGCCACGGAUGGAGAUUUUCAGAGUCAUGAUGGCUUAUUUUUGGAAAUUUAAUCUUGUAUAGCUCUACAUGCUCCUGGAUUUUCAACCCAGAAUGUCAGCUAGGAUACAAAAGACGCACCUAUGUAGUAGUCUUGUCCUGCUAUAGUAACUCCUACCUGGUCUCCUGCUCCUUCUUCAUCUGCAUCCGAUUCUUUUCCACAAAAUCCGUACUGGAACAGCAUACAGGAUGAUGAAUUCUCACACGUUACAAUAAUAAUAGCAGUAAGCUGCGCCAGGCCCCAACAAUGUGCACUGAUAUUGCAAAUUGACGAAAUUUCGCGUCAGUUGUAGCUUUGGUCCACAUUUCGGACAAUUUGUUUCAUCUAUAAAGAUCUAAUCAGAAAUUCAAUAAAGGCACCAUCAUUA
RNA transcript from Frieseomelitta varia, 1349 nucleotides. It is a transcript of the gene named 60S ribosomal protein L13-like, with no coding region annotated. The transcript is spliced from 6 exons. The record is from RefSeq and is a predicted model, not a curated record. NCBI's taxonomy places the organism in Eukaryota, Metazoa, Arthropoda, Insecta, Hymenoptera, Apidae.